Long non-coding RNA from Pundamilia nyererei, 102 nucleotides. RefSeq lists it as uncharacterized. Lineage: Eukaryota; Metazoa; Chordata; Actinopteri; Cichliformes; Cichlidae. The transcript is spliced from 3 exons. The record is from RefSeq and is a predicted model, not a curated record.
CAAAAACAUAAACAGCAUGAUGAACAGAGCUUCUCUACUCCGACUGCUCUCCGUCAUCUCCCUACUGUGCUGCACAACAAAGCAAGCUCAUCUGACUGUGAG